This 775-nucleotide ribosomal RNA is filed under the name uncultured Neocallimastigales. RNAcentral describes it as "partial large subunit ribosomal RNA". It matches the Rfam family "Eukaryotic large subunit ribosomal RNA", at positions 24 to 643 of the family's 3401-position model. The record is from RNAcentral. Lineage: Eukaryota; Fungi; Neocallimastigomycota; Neocallimastigomycetes; Neocallimastigales.
UAUCUCUGUAGAGUCUGCAUAUCAAUAAGCGGAGGAAAAGAAACUAACUAAGGAUUCCCUUAGUAACGGCGAGUGAAGCGGGAAGAGCUCAAAUUUGAAAUCUUCAGGUUCUACCUUGACGAAUUGUAGUUUAAAGAAGUGUUUUCUGUUAGAUGAGUAGCAAAAGUUCCUUGGAAUGGGACAUCAUAGAGGGUGAGAAUCCCGUAUUUGGUUAUUCAUUCUAGCUUUGUGAUACACUUUCAAAGAGUCGGAUUGUUUGGGAAUGCAGUCCAAAAUGGGUGGUAAAUUUCAUCUAAAGCUAAAUAUUGGCGAGAGACCGAUAGCGAACAAGUACCGUGAGGGAAAGAUGAAAAGAACUUUGAAAAGAGAGUUAAACAGUACGUGAAAUUGUCAAAAGGGAAGCGUUUGACACCAGUGUUGUUUUUCCGAAAAUCAAUUACGAAUGGCUUGAUUCUGUGUUGUAUUGACCUUAUCAGCUUUCUUCACCUUUUUUCGAGUCUUUCUUAAUGCACUUUUCGGUUAACAAGUCAACAUCAAUUUCUUUUGUUGUAAAAGAGUAUUCGGAAGGUGGCUUUCUUUUCGGAGAAAGUGUUUAUAGCCCUAUACUUCUACAAUCGGAGAGAUUGAGGUCUGCAGCGUAGAUCCUUCGGGGUUAGAUACACUUGUGCUAAGUUGUAGCUUUUCAUAGACAACUUGUUGACUAUGUUUAGUCAUGCGGCUUACUCGCUUGUGCUAUUUUACCUACGCUUAGGAUGUUGAAGAUGUAGCACAUCAU